Molecule: long non-coding RNA, 215 nt
Organism: Pelmatolapia mariae (spotted tilapia)
Lineage: Eukaryota; Metazoa; Chordata; Actinopteri; Cichliformes; Cichlidae
Exons: 3
Source: RefSeq, a predicted model, not a curated record
CCUUGAAGACGUCCCCCCCAGCAGACACUAACUGGGCGAGCGAGGAGGACGACCACGUGGUGGCCAGAGGAGAAUAUGACUUGACAGCUGCUUCUCAGGAGGAGCUUUCUAUGCGAGCUGGAGAGAUGCUCAACCUCGCUCCUAAAGAGCUACAGCCCCGUGUGCGUGGCUGGCUCCUGGCCAGUGUAGACGGUGAGACCACAUGCUCGUCCCAG